This 327-nucleotide ribosomal RNA is filed under the name uncultured eukaryote. RNAcentral describes it as "partial 18S ribosomal RNA". It matches the Rfam family "Eukaryotic small subunit ribosomal RNA", at positions 1470 to 1796 of the family's 1831-position model. The record is from RNAcentral.
CCCUUAGAUGUUCUGGGCCGCACGCGCGCUACACUGAUUCAUGCAACGAGUUUUGUCCUUGGCUGAAAGGCCUGGGUAAUCUUUGAACGUGAAUCGUGCUGGGGAUAGAUGAUUGCAAUUAUUCAUCUUCAACGAGGAAUUCCUAGUAAACGCAAGUCAUCAGCUUGCAUUGAUUACGUCCCUGCCCUUUGUACACACCGCCCGUCGCACCUACCGAUUGAAUGGUCCGGUGAAAUCUUCGGAUCUGAGAGAUGUUGGAUUAAUUUCUGACGCCUUUUGGAAAAGUCGCUUAAACCUUAUCAUUUAGAGGAAGGUGAAGUUGUANCA